GACGAACGCUGGCGGCGUGCUUAACACAUGCAAGUCGAGCGGUAAGGCCCUUUCGGGGGUACACGAGCGGCGAACGGGUGAGUAACACGUGGGUGACCUGCCUCUAGCUCUGGGAUAAGCCUGGGAAGCUGGGUCUAAUACCGGAUAUGACCUCGCGGUGCAUGUUGCGGGGUGGAAAGCCUUGUGCGGCUAGGGGAUGGGCCCGCGGCCUAUCAGCUUGUUGGUGGGGUGANGGCCCUACCAAGGCGACGACGGGUAGCCGGCCUGAGAGGGCGACCGGCCACACUGGGACUGAGACACGGCCCAGACUCCUACGGGAGGCAGCAGUGGGGAAUCUUGCGCAAUGGGCGAAAGCCUGACGCAGCGACGCCGCGUGAGGGAUGACGGCCU
RNAcentral lists this ribosomal RNA (390 nucleotides) under uncultured bacterium. RNAcentral's name for it is "bacterial SSU rRNA". It matches the Rfam family "Bacterial small subunit ribosomal RNA", at positions 28 to 417 of the family's 1533-position model. The record is from RNAcentral.